RNAcentral lists this transfer RNA (75 nucleotides) under Planctomycetota bacterium. Its description in RNAcentral is "Planctomycetes bacterium tRNA-Gly". It matches the Rfam family "tRNA". From Rfam's summary of the family: Transfer RNA (tRNA) molecules are approximately 80 nucleotides in length. Their secondary structure includes four short double-helical elements and three loops (D, anti-codon, and T loops). Lineage: Bacteria; Pseudomonadati; Planctomycetota. RNAcentral also lists the same sequence under 1 other name. The record is from RNAcentral.
GCGGGUGUAGCUCAGUGGUAGAGCGAGACGUUGCCAACGUCUAGGUCGUCGGUUCAAGUCCGAUCACCCGCUCCA